Molecule: ribosomal RNA, 440 nt
Filed under: uncultured bacterium
Lineage: Bacteria
Description: partial 16S ribosomal RNA
Rfam family: Bacterial small subunit ribosomal RNA
Source: RNAcentral
CCUACGGGUGGCAGCAGUGGGGAAUAUUGCACAAUGGGGGAAACCCUGAUGCAGCGACGCCGCGUGAGUGAAGAAGUAAUUCGUUAUGUAAAGCUCUAUCAGCAGGGAAGAAAAUGACGGUACCUGAGUAAGAAGCCCCGGCUAACUACGUGCCAGCAGCCGCGGUAAUACGUAGGGGGCAAGCGUUAUCCGGAUUUACUGGGUGGAAAGGGAGCGUAGACGGCAUGGCAAGUCUGGAGUGAAAGGCGGGGGCUCAACCCCCGGACUGCUCUGGAAACUGUACGGCUGGAGUGCAGGAGAGGUAAGUGGAAUUCCUAGUGUAGCGGUGAAAUGCGUAGAUAUUAGGAGGAACACCAGUGGCGAAGGCGGCUUACUGGACUGUAACUGACGUUGAGGCUCGAAAGCGUGGGGAGCAAACAGGAUUAGAUACCCCAGUAGUC